UACGGGGGGGGUAAGCGUUGUUCGGAAUUACUGGGCGUAAAGCGUGCGUAGGCGGUCCGCGAAGUCUGAUGUGAAAGCCCCGGGCUCAACCUGGGAACUGCAUUGGAAACUAACGGGCUCGAGUGUGGCAGAGGGGGGUGGAAUUCCACGUGUAGCAGUGAAAUGCGUAGAGAUGUGGAGGAACACCGAUGGCGAAGGCAGCCCCCUGGGCUAACACUGACGCUCAGGCACGAAAGCGUGGGGAGCAAACAGG
This 253-nucleotide ribosomal RNA is filed under the name uncultured bacterium. RNAcentral describes it as "partial 16S ribosomal RNA". It matches the Rfam family "Bacterial small subunit ribosomal RNA", at positions 524 to 776 of the family's 1533-position model. The record is from RNAcentral.